Molecule: ribosomal RNA, 921 nt
Filed under: uncultured bacterium
Lineage: Bacteria
Description: bacterial SSU rRNA
Rfam family: Bacterial small subunit ribosomal RNA
Source: RNAcentral
ACGCUAGCUACAGGCUUAACACAUGCAAGUCGAGGGGAAACGGCAUUAAGUGCUUGCACUUUUUGGACGUCGACCGGCGCACGGGGGAGUAACGCGGAUCCAACCUUCCCAUGACUAAGGGAUAACCUGCCGAAAGGCAGACUAAUACCUUAUGGUCUUCACUGACGGCAUCAGAUGUGAAGUAAAGAUUUAUCGGUUAUGGAUGGGGAUGCGUCUGAUUAGCUUGUUGGCGGGGUAACGGCCCACCAAGGCAACGAUCAGUAGGGGUUCUGAGAGGAAGGUCCCCCACAUUGGAACUGAGACACGGUCCAAACUCCUACGGGAGGCAGCAGUGAGGAAUAUUGGUCAAUGGGCGAGAGCCUGAACCAGCCAAGUAGCGUGCAGGAUGACGGCCCUAUGGGUUGUAAACUGCUUUUGUAUGGGGAUAAAGUCAAUCACGUGUGAUUGUUUGCAGGUACCAUACGAAUAAGGACCGGCUAAUUCCGUGCCAGCAGCCGCGGUAAUACGGAAGGUCCGGGCGUUAUCCGGAUUUAUUGGGUUUAAAGGGAGCGUAGGCUGGAGAUUAAGUGUGUUGUGAAAUGUAGACGCUCAACGUCUGACUUGCAGCGCAUACUGGUUUCCUUGAGUACGCACAACGUUGGCGGAAUUCGUCGUGUAGCGGUGAAAUGCUUAGAUAUGACGAAGAACUCCGAUUGCGAAGGCAGCUGACGGGAGCGCAACUGACGCUGAAGCUCGAAGGUGCGGGUAUCGAACAGGAUUAGAUACCCUGGUAGUCCGCACAGUAAACGAUGGAUGCCCGCUGUUGGUACCUGGUAUCAGCGGCUAAGCGAAAGCAUUAAGCAUCUCACCUGGGGAGUACGCCGGCAACGGUGAAACUCAAAGGAAUUGACGGGGGCCCGCACAAGCGGAGGAACAUGGUGG